GGGCGAUUAGCUCAGUGGUAGAGCAUCUCGUUUACACCGAGGGGGUCGGCGGUUCAAUCCCGUCAUCGCCCACCA
RNAcentral lists this transfer RNA (75 nucleotides) under Holosporales bacterium. Its description in RNAcentral is "tRNA-Val". It matches the Rfam family "tRNA". From Rfam's summary of the family: Transfer RNA (tRNA) molecules are approximately 80 nucleotides in length. Their secondary structure includes four short double-helical elements and three loops (D, anti-codon, and T loops). Further hydrogen bonds mediate the characteristic L-shaped molecular structure. tRNAs have two regions of fundamental functional importance: the anti-codon, which is responsible for specific mRNA codon recognition, and the 3' end, to which the tRNAs corresponding amino acid is attached (by aminoacyl-tRNA synthetases). tRNAs cope with the degeneracy of the genetic code in two manners: having more than one tRNA (with a specific anti-codon) for a particular amino acid; and 'wobble' base-pairing, i.e. permitting non-standard base-pairing at the 3rd anti-codon position. The record is from RNAcentral. Lineage: Bacteria; Pseudomonadati; Pseudomonadota; Alphaproteobacteria; Holosporales.